Molecule: long non-coding RNA, 691 nt
Organism: Polypterus senegalus (gray bichir)
Lineage: Eukaryota; Metazoa; Chordata; Cladistia; Polypteriformes; Polypteridae
Exons: 2
Source: RefSeq, a predicted model, not a curated record
AGAGUUACGUGGAAAUCGUAGUGAGUUUAACAAAUGCUCGGCGACUAUUCUCAUUAGAUGUUUAUAGUCUGGAAUGGCCACUUGGCGUGUCGAUGUGGUUUAAACGGACAUAGGAUUGGUGGAUAGUGGGGAAAAAAAAAUCACAGGAUUACUUUGCCACAUCCAAGCGUUGUACAGAAGGGUCUCUUCUGUCACUCACCAGUAUUGAAACAUUAGGUUUGUUUACUCCCGUAAAGAACGAAGUGGUGUAAAAAUCAGAUCCACGUUGGCAAUAUUAACAGCAGGCGAUACACUUUGAUUUGAUCGAAACAGAAAAGGGAUCAUUAGCACAAAUGCCACGUUUAUAAAGCGUAUUGAGUAAAAAUGUGUUAUUCUGUUUUAUGGCUGGAUGCACAAUGGUGUCUCAGAGGCUAUCUUUCAUAAUGGCAGAAGGGUAUAGAGCUGAACAAUUUAACAUCCGUGGCAGAGCGACGGGCACUGAGCAGUCUCCUGUCAAUAAUGGAGAAUGGAGAAUCCACUGAACAAGAUCAUCACCAGACAGAGAAUCAGCUUUAGCGACAGACCGUCCUGCUCCACUGACAGACUGAGGAGAUCGUUCCUCCCUCACACUAUGCGACUCUUCAAUUCCAACCUGGGGGAGGUUGGGGGCUCAGGGGGUUGGGAAAUAAAACGCUAACAUUAUUUAAAGUUA